This 30-nucleotide non-coding RNA is filed under the name Mus musculus (house mouse). The record is from RNAcentral. Lineage: Eukaryota; Metazoa; Chordata; Mammalia; Rodentia; Muridae.
UGGAAUGGGAAUAAAUGUUGUUCUGUUACC